AUUGAACGCCGGCGGCAGGCCUAACACAUGCAAGUCGGACGGUAGCACAGAGAGCUUGCUCUCGGGUGACGAGUGGCGGACGGGUGAGUAAUGUCUGGGGUUCUGCCCGAUAGAGGGGGAUAACCACUGGAAACGGUGGCUAAUACCGCAUAACGUCGCAAGACCAAAGGGGGGGACCUUCGGGCCUCUCACUAUCGGAUGAACCCAGAUGGGAUUAGCUAGUAGGCGGUGUAAUGGCCCACCUAGGCGACGAUCCCUAGCUGGUCUGAGAGGAUCACCAGCCACAGUGGAGAAGAGACACGGUCCAGACUCCUACGGGGGGCAGCAGUGGGGAAUAUUGCGCGCUGGGCGCAAGCCUGAUGCAGCCAUGCCGCGUGUAUGAAGAAGGCCUUCGGGUUGUAAAGUACUUUCAGCGGGGAGGAAGGCGGUGAGGUUAAUAACUUUGCCGAUGGACGUUACCCGCAGAAGAAGCACCGGCUAACUCCGUGCCAGCAGCCGCCGUAA
RNAcentral lists this ribosomal RNA (504 nucleotides) under uncultured bacterium. Its description in RNAcentral is "partial 16S ribosomal RNA". It matches the Rfam family "Bacterial small subunit ribosomal RNA", at positions 29 to 523 of the family's 1533-position model. The record is from RNAcentral.